RNAcentral lists this transfer RNA (76 nucleotides) under Blastocatellia bacterium. RNAcentral describes it as "tRNA-Thr". It matches the Rfam family "tRNA". From Rfam's summary of the family: Transfer RNA (tRNA) molecules are approximately 80 nucleotides in length. Their secondary structure includes four short double-helical elements and three loops (D, anti-codon, and T loops). The record is from RNAcentral. Lineage: Bacteria; Pseudomonadati; Acidobacteriota; Blastocatellia.
GCCAGCGUAGCUCAGUCGGUAGAGCACCUGAUUCGUAAUUAGGGGGUCAAGGGUUCGAGUCCCUUCGCUGGCUCCA